Molecule: transfer RNA, 74 nt
Filed under: Enterococcus hulanensis
Lineage: Bacteria; Bacillati; Bacillota; Bacilli; Lactobacillales; Enterococcaceae
Description: tRNA-Ile
Rfam family: tRNA
About the family: Transfer RNA (tRNA) molecules are approximately 80 nucleotides in length. Their secondary structure includes four short double-helical elements and three loops (D, anti-codon, and T loops). Further hydrogen bonds mediate the characteristic L-shaped molecular structure. tRNAs have two regions of fundamental functional importance: the anti-codon, which is responsible for specific mRNA codon recognition, and the 3' end, to which the tRNAs corresponding amino acid is attached (by aminoacyl-tRNA synthetases). tRNAs cope with the degeneracy of the genetic code in two manners: having more than one tRNA (with a specific anti-codon) for a particular amino acid; and 'wobble' base-pairing, i.e. permitting non-standard base-pairing at the 3rd anti-codon position.
Source: RNAcentral
GUACCCUUAGCUCAGUUGGUUAGAGCAACGGACUCAUAAUCGUCCGGUCGUAGGUUCGAGUCCUACAGGGUACA